RNAcentral lists this ribosomal RNA (504 nucleotides) under uncultured bacterium. RNAcentral's name for it is "bacterial SSU rRNA". It matches the Rfam family "Bacterial small subunit ribosomal RNA", at positions 16 to 507 of the family's 1533-position model. The record is from RNAcentral.
AUCCUGGCUCAGGAUGAACGCUAGCUACAGGCUUAACACAUGCAAGUCGAGGGGAAACGACAUCGAAAGCUUGCUUUUGAUGGGCGUCGACCGGCGCACGGGUGAGUAACGCGUAUCCAACCUGCCCACCACUUGGGGAUAACCUUGCGAAAGUAAGACUAAUACCCAAUGAUAUCUCUAGAAGACAUCUGAAAGAGAUUAAAGAUUUAUCGGUGAUGGAUGGGGAUGCGUCUGAUUAGCUUGUUGGCGGGGUAACGGCCCACCAAGGCGACGAUCAGUAGGGGUUCUGAGAGGAAGGUCCCCCACAUUGGAACUGAGACACGGUCCAAACUCCUACGGGAGGCAGCAGUGAGGAAUAUUGGUCAAUGGACGAGAGUCUGAACCAGCCAAGUAGCGUGCAGGAUGACGGCCCUAUGGGUUGUAAACUGCUUUUAUAAGGGAAUAAAGUGAGCCUCGUGAGGCUUUUUGCAUGUACCUUAUGAAUAAGGACCGGCUAAUUCCGUG